CCUACGGGGUGCAGCAGUGGGGAAUAUUGGACAAUGGGCGAAAGCCUGAUCCAGCCAUGCCGCGUGUGUGAAGAAGGCCUUCGGGUUGUAAAGCACUUUCAGUGGGGAAGAAAGCCUUGGGGCUAAUACCCUCGAGGAAGGACAUCACCCACAGAAGAAGCACCGGCUAACUCCGUGCCAGCAGCCGCGGUAAUACGGAGGGUGCGAGCGUUAAUCGGAAUUACUGGGCGUAAAGCGCGCGUAGGCGGUCUGAUAAGCCGGUUGUGAAAGCCCCGGGCUCAACCUGGGAACGGCAUCCGGAACUGUCAGGCUAGAGUGCAGGAGAGGAAGGUAGAAUUCCCGGUGUAGCGGUGAAAUGCGUAGAGAUCGGGAGGAAUACCAGUGGCGAAGGCGGCCUUCUGGACUGACACUGACGCUGAGGUGCGAAAGCGUGGGUAGCCAACAGGAUUAGCUACCCUGGUAGUC
Molecule: ribosomal RNA, 465 nt
Filed under: Vreelandella stevensii
Lineage: Bacteria; Pseudomonadati; Pseudomonadota; Gammaproteobacteria; Oceanospirillales; Halomonadaceae
Description: partial 16S ribosomal RNA
Rfam family: Bacterial small subunit ribosomal RNA
Source: RNAcentral